AGUGAACGCUGGCGGUAGGCCUAACACAUGCAAGUCGAACGGUAACACAGUAUGCGCUUGCUCUUACGGGUGGCGGGUGGCGGACGGGUGAUGCGUACAUCGGAUUCCACUUUUUCGUGGGGGAUACCGGAGGACAACUUCUGAUAAUACCUCAUACGACUUACGGCUGAAAGCUGGGUAUCUUCGGAUCUUGUGCGAUUGGAUGAGCUGAUGUCGUAUUAGCUUGUUGGUGGGGUAAUGGCCCACCAAGGCGACGAUCCGUAGCUGGUCUGAGAGGAUGAUCGGCCACACUGGAGCUGAAACACGGUCCAGACUCCUACGGGAGGCAGCAGUCGGGAAUAUGAGGCAAAGGGCGGAAGCCUGACACAGCCGGCCCGCGUGUGUGAAGAAGGCCUUCGGGUUGUAAAGCCCUUUUGUUGGGAAAGAACAGCUGUAAGUUAAUACGCCGCUGUUGUGACGGUACCCAAAGAAUAAGCGCCGGCUAACUACGUG
This 492-nucleotide ribosomal RNA is filed under the name uncultured bacterium. RNAcentral describes it as "partial 16S ribosomal RNA". It matches the Rfam family "Bacterial small subunit ribosomal RNA", at positions 29 to 507 of the family's 1533-position model. The record is from RNAcentral.